Molecule: ribosomal RNA, 418 nt
Filed under: uncultured bacterium
Lineage: Bacteria
Description: bacterial SSU rRNA
Rfam family: Bacterial small subunit ribosomal RNA
Source: RNAcentral
UGAGGGAUAUUGGGCAAUGGGGGAACCCUGACCCAGCGACGCCGCGUGAGGGAAGACGGUCUUCGGAUUGUAAACCUCUGUCUUUGGGGACGAAGAAGGACGGUACCCAAGGAGGAAGCUCCGGCUAACUACGUGCCAGCAGCCGCGGUAAUACGUAGGGAGCGAGCGUUGUCCGGAAUUACUGGGUGUAAAGGGAGCGUAGGCGGGAUUGCAAGUUGGAUGUGAAAACUGCGGGCUCAACCCGGAGAGUGCAUUCAAAACUGCGAUUCUUGAGUGAAAGUAGAGGCAAGCGGAAAUUCCUAGUGUAGCGGUGAAAAUGCGUAGAUAUUAGGAGGAACACCAGUGGCGAAGGCGGCUUGCUGGGCUUUUACUGACGCUGAGGCUCGAAAGUGUAGGGAGCAAACAGGAUUAGAUACCC